This 286-nucleotide ribosomal RNA is filed under the name uncultured bacterium. RNAcentral describes it as "partial 16S ribosomal RNA". It matches the Rfam family "Bacterial small subunit ribosomal RNA", at positions 29 to 295 of the family's 1533-position model. The record is from RNAcentral.
AAUGAACGCUGGCGGCGUGGUUAAGACAUGCAAGUCGAACGGUGUUUCAAAUGUAGCAAUACAUUUGAAACGCAGUGGCGAACGGGUGCGUAACACGUGAACAAUUUACCUUUUAGUGUGGAAUAGCUCGACGAAAGUCGGAUUAAUACCGCAUGUGGUUGUACUCUCGCCUGAGAGGCAUACUAAAGCCGGGGACGCAAGGCCUGGCGCUAUUAGAGGAGUUCGCGGCCUACAGCUAGUUGGCGAGGUAACGGCUCACCAAGGCUAAGACGGGUAGCUGAUCUGA